UGCUGUUUAUGGUAAUAUGAUUUGUCCCUGUUCAUCAUCCUCUUCAUCAUGAUCAUCAACUGUCUACCUUUUGAUAUGAUCCUUUUCCUCAUGUAACAGAUUAUGCAGCCUAGUAGAAGGAUAAAGGAAGCAGCUGUGCACAAACUAAUCGCCAAUAGUCGCUUGUGGCGGCUGUAGUUAUCUUCUUGUGCUGCAAAUUCCCAGUUGUAAUCAUUUGGGACCUGCCAUACAUUAUA
This 236-nucleotide long non-coding RNA is filed under the name Helianthus annuus (common sunflower). RNAcentral's name for it is "sRNA HanXRQr2_Chr09g0369941". Lineage: Eukaryota; Viridiplantae; Streptophyta; Magnoliopsida; Asterales; Asteraceae. The record is from RNAcentral.